This is a long non-coding RNA of Lynx canadensis (Canada lynx), 100 nucleotides long. RefSeq lists it as uncharacterized. The transcript is spliced from 3 exons. Lineage: Eukaryota; Metazoa; Chordata; Mammalia; Carnivora; Felidae. The record is from RefSeq and is a predicted model, not a curated record.
GUUGGAUUAGGUUUGAUAGUAUUUUGUUGAAGAUUUUUGUAUGUAUGUUCAUCAGUUAUUGGCCUAUAGAUCGCUUUUUUGUGGUGUCUUUAUCUGGUUU